This 250-nucleotide unclassified non-coding RNA is filed under the name plant metagenome. RNAcentral's name for it is "partial contains small subunit ribosomal RNA, internal transcribed spacer 1, and 5.8S ribosomal RNA". The record is from RNAcentral.
GUAGGUGAACCUGCGGAAGGAUCAUUAACACUUAUAUUUUUAUAUUUAUCCAAUAUCAAAAUUUCAACCAAACGUGAACAUAUCUCCUCCCUACUUCGUGCAACCGGAGACGGUCCGAGUAGGCUAAAAUUUUUUAACAAUUUUUAACCCCAUUUAAAAAUUCAACUCUUCGAUUUUUGCUUUGGAAACAAAACAAAGAACGAACUAAACUAAAAUAUACAUUGAUUAUAUUUUUCUUUUACGAAAUAAU